This 253-nucleotide ribosomal RNA is filed under the name uncultured bacterium. RNAcentral's name for it is "partial 16S ribosomal RNA". It matches the Rfam family "Bacterial small subunit ribosomal RNA", at positions 524 to 776 of the family's 1533-position model. The record is from RNAcentral.
UACAGAGGGUGCGAGCGUUAAUCGGAAUUACUGGGCGUAAAGCGUGCGUAGAUGGUUAUGUAAGUCGGAUGUGAAAUCCCCGGGCUCAACCUGGGAACUGCAUUUGUGACUGCAUCGCUGGAGUGCGGCAGAGGGGGAUGGAAUUCCGCGUGUAGCAGUGAAAUGCGUAGAUAUGCGGAGGAACACCGAUGGCGAAGGCAAUCCCCUGGGCCUGCACUGGCGCUCAUGCACGAAAGCGUGGGGAGCAAACAGG